Molecule: long non-coding RNA, 1088 nt
Filed under: Homo sapiens (human)
Lineage: Eukaryota; Metazoa; Chordata; Mammalia; Primates; Hominidae
Description: HSALNT0357839
Source: RNAcentral
GGACUCAGCCACUAUGUUGUGAGGAAGCCUAGGCCACAUGGAGAGGCCACAUAGAUGUGUUCCAGGCAGCAGCCCCAGCAAAGGUCUCAAUCAACCACCAUAUGUGUGAGUGAAGGAACCUUCAGAUAAUUUUGCUUCCCAGACUUCAAGUCUUUCAGCUGGGGUCCAAGACAUCACAAGGCAGAGACAAGCCCUCCUGGAAUUCCCCACCCACCGUGAGCAUAAGAAAACUUGAAAGCGGUGUAAAUGGCUCUUAUCUGAACCACAAUGAAUUCACAUAUUCAAGUUGGCUUCUUCGGAAAUUUCAGGCCACAAAUGGCAGUGAUGCGACCAGGAGCAGUAACACGUGCCACUUCCAUCCGGACAGAAGGAACCCAGGUCAAGGCUGACAGGAGGAGCAGGAGCCGUCAAUGAGAGCAGACCUCAGAAGCCAACGGAGGUGAGAAGAGCACCAUCCACAGCCCCAUCCUCUGAAUGCUGUGGGAAGAAGUCCACAAAAUACCACCCCUUGGAGUCAGUCAGUAGUAGAGCCCUUGCUGCUGGCUGCAAAUACCCCAUCAGAACAUGUUUGGGGUGAUUCUUGGACCUGGUUUCAAUUUCUUUUCUGCCAGUCAGCAGUUGUGCUUGACUCACAAUUUGUUGCCAUCUCUUGAAUUAAACUCAGGAAACAGGAUAAAGAUCAGAACCACAUUGUAAAAGCUUCCUUAUGGUUCAUUUUUUGCUGAGAUAAAUAAUGAGCAGCUCUGAUCCAUGUCUCUGGAGAGCUCAGAGCACACUACCAGGAGCUCCUAGCCACAGGGUGAGCACAGGUGGCUGGUGUUCUCUUGAUGAGGAAAGACAGCAGUGUCCAAUCUACCCUGCCUUACACGGAGCCCCAGGUGCUCUCCCGGACUGUGUUGCUACCUAAAGCACAUGGCAAUUGCAUGAUGCUAACCAGAGCAGCCCCUCACUCAUUAGAAACAUCUGCUUUGCAUUAUUUACACAGGCAAAGUUUUCCUUUUUACUGAGCCUACCCAGUUCAAACUUAAGUGGGAUUUGCCAGCUAUCUGGCUAAUUUUAUGAGCAAUAAUAAAGAUUGGUGAACACUU